Molecule: non-coding RNA, 72 nt
Filed under: Escherichia coli
Lineage: Bacteria; Pseudomonadati; Pseudomonadota; Gammaproteobacteria; Enterobacterales; Enterobacteriaceae
Description: Nucleoid-associated noncoding RNA 4 (CssrE)
Rfam family: Nucleoid-associated noncoding RNA 4 (CssrE)
About the family: In E. coli small RNA transcribed from repeated extragenic palindromic element (REP325) called nucleoid-associated ncRNA 4 (nRNA4) collaborates HU protein in condensing the DNA. The secondary structure but not the sequence of the RNA is important in nucleoid condensation. Also identified in Shigella as CssrE.
Source: RNAcentral
GGUCAGAUAAGGUGUUUACGCCGCAUCCGACUGCUGUUGCCUGAUGCGACGCUUGCCGCGUCUUAUCAGGCC